CCUACAGGAGGCAGCAGUGAGGAAUAUUGGUCAAUGGACGCAAGUCUGAACCAGCCAUGCCGCGUGCAGGAAGACGGCUCUAUGAGUUGUAAACUGCUUUUGUACGAGGGUAAAUCCCGAUACGUGUAUCGGGUUGAAAGUAUCGUACGAAUAAGGAUCGGCUAACUCCGUGCCAGCAGCCGCGGUAAUACGGAGGAUUCAAGCGUUAUCCGGAUUUAUUGGGUUUAAAGGGUGCGUAGGCGGUUCGAUAAGUUAGAGGUGAAAUGCCGGGGCUCAACUCCGGCACUGCCUCUGAUACUGUCGGGCUAGAGUGUAGUUGAGGUAGGUGGAAUGUAUGGUGUAGCGGUGAAAUGCAUAGAGAUCAUACAGAACACCGGUGGCGAAGGCAGCUUACUAAACUACGACUGACGUUGAGGCACGAAAGCGUGGGGAGCAAACAGGAUUAGAUACCCGGGUAGUC
This 460-nucleotide ribosomal RNA is filed under the name uncultured bacterium. RNAcentral describes it as "partial 16S ribosomal RNA". It matches the Rfam family "Bacterial small subunit ribosomal RNA", at positions 338 to 795 of the family's 1533-position model. The record is from RNAcentral.